GUUCUUUAGAAUUAAUUGUCUCAGUUGCUGGGGGAAAAUUCUCUUUUUUUUCUUUCUUUUCCUGUUUUUGCCUGAAAAUGUUUUUGUUUCACAUUCAUUCAUGAGACAUAAUGAAUGGAUAUAGAAUAAUUUGGCAAUUAUUUUUUCAGCACUUUUGUGGUAUUAUCCCACUGUUUUUGACCUCCAUUGUGGUUAUGGAUAAGUCAGUUGUUAGCCUCACUGACCUGAGCCACAGAGGACCCUGUUGUGUGCUACCAAAAUCCCUUUUGGGGAUAGAAGGGAUCUAACCCUCAGAUGCUGAAGGUGUUACCAACUGACAGCUUAUGGAUCUCAACCUUGCUGGAAAUUGCUCUCAACUGAGGAGACCCACCUCCGGUUCAGACACCUUUACAAAACACUCCUGGGGCGCCUGGAUGGCUCAGUUGGUGAAGUGUCUGACUGCCGUUCGGGUCAUGAUCUCACAGACGUUUGUAGGUUCCCAUAAUCAUGCGGCCACUCGAAUGAGAACAGCGAAAACCACUAACAAUUUGGAGACGAGACAGAGUCCAGAAAAGGAAGAAAAGUCACGAAGACAUAAAUUUAGCUUGAGGUGUUCCACGAACACAAGGCAGAGACCUAGAAUUAGGGCUUGCUCUAAAUUUCAAAAUUGACAAAAGGGUGGCUUCUCUGAAAGCGGAGUCAUUGGGGCAAGGAAAUGUCUCAAGCAGGCAUCUGUGAGAGUGCAAGGGAAUCGACUGAAAAAUGCAAAACGUCUGGAAUUCAAAACAAGAGAUGUCCGUCCAUCUGGUGACAACUUGUCGGGACAGUUUGCCAAAGCAGAGACCUGCAAAAACCGACCUGUGGGUUGCAAAGGAAAGUGUCGCUUCCUCUCCCCCCAAGACGAUGGUUAAGAGCACUAGUUUUUAAGUUAGAACCAGGCCAGCUGUCAGCAGGAAAAAUCUAUAUGCGUGUGGGAGGUGGGCAGGAGCCAGUAACGUAAACCUUGAAGUCUUGGAUUUCUU
Molecule: long non-coding RNA, 1001 nt
Filed under: Felis catus (domestic cat)
Lineage: Eukaryota; Metazoa; Chordata; Mammalia; Carnivora; Felidae
Description: lncRNA (ENSFCAG00000053536.1)
Source: RNAcentral